Ictidomys tridecemlineatus (thirteen-lined ground squirrel) is the source of this 454-nucleotide long non-coding RNA. RefSeq lists it as uncharacterized. The record is from RefSeq and is a predicted model, not a curated record. NCBI's taxonomy places the organism in Eukaryota, Metazoa, Chordata, Mammalia, Rodentia, Sciuridae.
CAUCUUUGUUGGUAUGUGGUGCUGCUGUGGAUCGAACCCGGGCCGCACGCAUGCUAGUCACAAACUUCCUGACUGUGUGGGCCUGGGCCCAAGAAGGCUUCACAGACCCCUGGGUGUGCCCAUGGUGUGAGCCAAGUGUUUACUCUGGCCUUGAUGCCAGCAGCUCAGCCCUCCCAGGUUUCAGCAGUGUGGAGCAUGAAGCAGAUGAGCAGGGCCAACAUGGGCAAGGUGGAAGCCAGAGUGUGCUGUCUCUGGUCAGACAAGAUGAACCACAGGCCUGAUAUUACUGUGAGGUCCAGGAGCCACUCCCACUGGGCCAUGCCAGCCCACUCUGUGAAUGGCUUUGAGUCUUAAUUUCCUCUUUGAAUAGGAUUUCUAAAAAAUAAGCUUUUUAGUUGUAGAAAGUUUAGGGUUUUUACAAUGAUGAUUUGAAAUAAAGCAAAUAUUGGUAAAA